CGCAUCUGUGCAUGCAGCAUAUCAAUAAGCGGAGGAAAAGAAACUAACAAGGAUUCCCCUAGUAACGGCGAGUGAAGCGGGAAGAGCUCAAAUUUGAAAUCUUAAAGGGUUUCCCUUUACGAAUUGUAGUUUAAAGAAGUGUUUUCUGUUGAGGUUUUGGCUAAAAGUUCUUUGGAAUAGGACAUCAUAGAGGGUGAGAAUCCCGUAUUUGACCUUUACUUUCAACUUUGUGAUACACUUUCAAAGAGUCGGAUUGUUUGGGAAUGCAGUCCAAAAUGGGUGGUAAAUUUCAUCUAAAGCUAAAUAUUGGCGAGAGACCGAUAGCGAACAAGUACCGUGAGGGAAAGAUGAAAAGAACUUUGAAAAGAGAGUUAAACAGUACGUGAAAUUGUCAAAAGGGAAGCGUUUGACACCAGUGUUGUUUUUCUGAAAAUCAAUUAAAGAACUGUUUAUGCUAAGUUGUUUAGACUUUAUCAGCUAACUGUUUAGUUUUGAGCUUUUCUUUAAUGCACUUUUCAGUUAACAAGUCAACAUCAAUUUCUUUUGCUGUAAAAAAGCUUGAGGAAGGUGGCUUGAGAUUCGUCUUAAGUGUUUAUAGCCUCUUGCCUAUGCAGUCGGAGAGAUUGAGGUCUGCAGCGUAGAUCCUUCGGGGCUAAAUGCAUUUGUGCUAAGUUAUAGCAUUUUAUAGACAACUUGUUGACUAUGAUUUGUCUUGUAGCUUACUCGCUUAUGUUAUUUUACCUACGCUUAGGAUGUUGAGCGCAUGUCUCUCUCU
Molecule: ribosomal RNA, 775 nt
Filed under: uncultured Neocallimastigales
Lineage: Eukaryota; Fungi; Neocallimastigomycota; Neocallimastigomycetes; Neocallimastigales
Description: partial large subunit ribosomal RNA
Rfam family: Eukaryotic large subunit ribosomal RNA
Source: RNAcentral